UACGUAGGGUGCGAGCGUUAAUCGGAAUUACUGGGCGUAAAGCGCGCGCAGGCGGUUUCUUAAGUCUGAUGUGAAAGCCCACGGCUCAACCGUGGAGGGUCAUUGGAAACUGGGGAACUUGAGUGCAGAAGAGAAAAGCGGAAUUCCACGUGUAGCGGUGAAAUGCGUAGAGAUGUGGAGGAACACCAGUGGCGAAGGCGGCUUUUUGGUCUGUAACUGACGCUGAGGCGCGAAAGCGUGGGGAGCAAACAGG
RNAcentral lists this ribosomal RNA (253 nucleotides) under uncultured bacterium. RNAcentral describes it as "partial 16S ribosomal RNA". It matches the Rfam family "Bacterial small subunit ribosomal RNA", at positions 524 to 776 of the family's 1533-position model. The record is from RNAcentral.